UGUGACCUCGGAUCAGGUUGCAUGACGUAAUGAAACUUAAGCAUA
RNAcentral lists this ribosomal RNA (45 nucleotides) under Fusarium oxysporum. Its description in RNAcentral is "partial 28S ribosomal RNA". Lineage: Eukaryota; Fungi; Ascomycota; Sordariomycetes; Hypocreales; Nectriaceae. The record is from RNAcentral.